AAAGAAGUUGUUCAUCAGAUAAAAGUUACUUUAGGGAUAACAGAAUUAUAAAAAUCAAGCGAUCAGAGCGAAAUUUUUGUUUGUGACCUCGAUGUCGAUUUGUGGUAUCCUCGAGGCGAAGAAGUUUCGAAGGGUUUAACUGUUCGUUAAAUAAAACCGCACAUGAAUUGGGUUUAAAACGAC
Molecule: ribosomal RNA, 183 nt
Filed under: Emiliania huxleyi
Lineage: Eukaryota; Haptophyta; Isochrysidales; Noelaerhabdaceae
Description: partial Bacterial large subunit ribosomal RNA
Rfam family: Bacterial large subunit ribosomal RNA
Source: RNAcentral